AAGAGUUGCAAAACUCCCUAAAACCCCUGUGAACUUAUCCUUGAGCGUUGCUUCGGCGGGCAGCCCCUCCCUGGGGCCGCAGCCUAAUCCCCCUUCCGGGGGGGUGCGGGCGCCCGCCGGAGGUAUUAAACUCUUCUGUAUUUUAGUGGCAUCUCUGAGUUAGCAAGUAAUAAGUCA
This 177-nucleotide unclassified non-coding RNA is filed under the name uncultured fungus. RNAcentral's name for it is "sequence contains ITS1, 5.8S rRNA gene". The record is from RNAcentral. Lineage: Eukaryota; Fungi.